AACGCAUAUUGCGCCCCUUGGUAUUCCGGGGGGCACACCUGUUCGAGCGCCAUUUCGACCCUCAAGCAUUGCUUGGUGUUGGGUAAAGUCCUUAAGGGACCUACCCGUAACUUGUAGGCUGCCUUUAGUGGCCCCCCCAGCGUAGCAAGCUAACGCACCCGCUGGGGGGUAGCCUAUAAAGGCCCGCCAAAAACUAUUCAAAGGUUUGGCCUCGGAUCAGGUGGGGAUACCCGCUGAACUUAA
Molecule: unclassified non-coding RNA, 243 nt
Filed under: uncultured fungus
Lineage: Eukaryota; Fungi
Description: partial contains 5.8S ribosomal RNA, internal transcribed spacer 2, and large subunit ribosomal RNA
Source: RNAcentral